This is a non-coding RNA of Gossypium hirsutum (cotton), 145 nucleotides long. NCBI's taxonomy places the organism in Eukaryota, Viridiplantae, Streptophyta, Magnoliopsida, Malvales, Malvaceae. The record is from Rfam.
GAUUAAAAAUUUCAUUCGUUUUUACAAUUAAAAAAUGGUUUAACUGGCGAAAUAACCAAAUAGUUACAUGUUGCAUGCUAUGUGUACCUCAUGCUGACAUAGAGGGGCUAGUUUUUAACUGUAAAAACAAAUGGAAUUUUUAACA